GGUGAGCCUGAGCUUGUUUGGCCCGUAAUUCAUUAGGUCCACAUCCAGGCAGUUGUUCCACCCUUGCUGUUCGGUCACCUGAUGACCUCUGAUAAUGCCUUCUAGUCCUUGUUGAAAUUGGCCAUUUUGAAACUGGACCAUAUGCUUGACAACUAAAUGAGGUAGCCAGUGGGCUUGGCUGGGUGAUGCUCAAGCUGGAGCCUGGCUGGACUUGGCCGCGUUGUGAACUGGGCUCCAUCUGUCCCGCUCCGUGUUCCUGUGACCCGAGCACAAGAAGGCAAAGCUGCCGUCCACGCACACAGGUCACGCCUCUGCAUCACAGUGGCUGAUAGGCCACUGCCGAGCCCAGCCUCAGCGAGAUGGGGCAGUUGGCGCUGCUUGUCGGAGAAGAAUUUGAGUUCAGUUCACAAUGAACUUAGCCCUGAAGUGAUGAGCCGCACCAUCUUGUCAUUGUUUUAGGUUUAUCCGUGGACAUGCCUCGCAGUCUUUGCUCUCUGCCUGCUCCUUCUCUUCUUGUGGUUCCCCUGCUGGUGUAGGAGGUUCAGAUAUUAAAAAGGGGGUUGCAGAAAUGAA
This is a long non-coding RNA of Capra hircus (goat), 573 nucleotides long. RefSeq lists it as uncharacterized. The record is from RefSeq and is a predicted model, not a curated record. The transcript is spliced from 2 exons. Lineage: Eukaryota; Metazoa; Chordata; Mammalia; Artiodactyla; Bovidae.